This is a non-coding RNA of Thamnophis sirtalis, 217 nucleotides long. The record is from RefSeq and is a predicted model, not a curated record. NCBI's taxonomy places the organism in Eukaryota, Metazoa, Chordata, Lepidosauria, Squamata, Natricidae.
ACUGUAAUCCUGGAGGUCGCAUUUUGUGCUGCAUGCCUUUUUCUCCCUCUCUGCACAGGACAAGGUCGACCUUCUGUCAAUGAAAGAGAUGCUGGAAUCCAUCAGAGGAAAUGCCGAAAUUCCCCUCUCGGUGCAGUCUUUGAGGUUCCUGACCCUUGACCUCCUGGAGAUGGAGUCCUUUGUGAACCAGAAUAAGUUCCAGCCCAUCAAACGUCAG